AGUGUACGCUGGCGGUAGGCCUAACACAUGCAAGUCGAACGGCAGCACAGUAAGAGCUUGCUCUUACGGGUGGCGAGUGGCGGACGGGUGAGGAAUACAUCGGAAUCUACUUUUUCGUGGGGGAUAACGUAGGGAAACUUACGCUAAUACCGCAUACGACCUACGGGUGAAAGCAGGGGAUCUUCGGACCUUGCGCGAUUGAAUGAGCCGAUGUCGGAUUAGCUAGUUGGCGGGGUAAAGGCCCACCAAGGCGACGAUCCGUAGCUGGUCUGAGAGGAUGAUCGGCCACACUGGAACUGAGACACGGUCCAGACUCCUUCGGGAGGCAGCAGUGGGGAAUAUUGGACAAUGGGCGCAAGCCUGAUCCAGCCAUACCGCGUGGGUGAAGAAGGCCUUCGGGUUGUAAAGCCCUUUUGUUGGGAAAGAAAAGCAGCAGGUUAAUACCCCGCUGUUCUGACGGUACCCAAAGAAUAAGCACCGGCUAACUUCGUG
This 492-nucleotide ribosomal RNA is filed under the name uncultured bacterium. RNAcentral's name for it is "partial 16S ribosomal RNA". It matches the Rfam family "Bacterial small subunit ribosomal RNA", at positions 29 to 507 of the family's 1533-position model. The record is from RNAcentral.